RNAcentral lists this ribosomal RNA (253 nucleotides) under uncultured bacterium. RNAcentral describes it as "partial 16S ribosomal RNA". It matches the Rfam family "Bacterial small subunit ribosomal RNA", at positions 524 to 776 of the family's 1533-position model. The record is from RNAcentral.
GACAGAGGUGCCGAGCGUUAGGCGGAAUCACUGGGCUUAAAGCGUGUGUAGGCGGGCCGUUAAGUGCCCCGUGAAAUCCCCCGGCUCAACCGGGGAACGGCGGGGCAUACUGGCGGCCUUGAGCCACUUAAGGGCAGACGGAACAAGCGGUGGAGCGGUGAAAUGCGUAGAUAUCUGGAGGAAUACCGGUGGCGAAGGCGGCAUCCUGGACCGGCAUUGACGCUGAGGAGCGAAAGCGUGGGGAGCGAACAGG